CCCAGGGAUGAAACUGCUGCGUGGGACUGGGCACCAAAGCCAUGCAUGAUCCCUCCAGCUGUUCUUCCCUUCAGCAGCAAGGUUUGCCAGCAUCUCCUGCAUCCUCUGCGAGUUCUCAAAAGAUGCUUUCCCAAGGAAGAUCCCAUCUUUUCCCUAGAGAAAGCCAAAAAACCCACCAUGAGCCACUUUGACAUCUAAGGAAGGCAGGAGCAGCGUGAAGGCAGUCACGCACACAUGUGUCUUUGCCCUGCUGGGUGAAACUGCGGAGCAAGAAGCGGCAACCCUCCUGUGCAAUGCCCAAG
Rhea pennata is the source of this 302-nucleotide long non-coding RNA. RefSeq lists it as uncharacterized. Lineage: Eukaryota; Metazoa; Chordata; Aves; Rheiformes; Rheidae. The record is from RefSeq and is a predicted model, not a curated record. The transcript is spliced from 3 exons.